CCUUCAUUCGUGAUUUUUUCACAUCCUGAAGUGUGGAUUAUUUUCUAUUAACCCUCUCUUUCAGAUGAAGAUGUCUACUCAGUGAGUCUCAGGGAUUUGCCCACGAAGAAACAGGGAGACAGCAAUUGCAUGAGGUCCUGCACAGGGCAUCCUGACCACAAUACUCUGCCUUUCCACAAUACUCGCCCUCCAUGCCCCAAGAAAGCAGCCAGAGAGAACUAGUGCUGGUUUAAGGACUUGGAAUAUGAACAAAACAUGCAGUCACUUCCCACCAGGAUGUAUCCUUCUGGACAUUGGCACACGUGCAAGAUGACAAUUUAAGAUAUAAGUUGCAAAGAUUGGAGCAUCUCAAGAUAACGUGUUUUGAGGAUGGUGAGCUGCCCAGGUCACCUGGUUCUGGAUUUGAUACCUUCUGGAUGGACCUACCUAUCCACCCUGGACUGCCAUUGGUCAGAAAAGGAAACUUCUAUGUGGGUGAAUGCUUCCUGCCCGUUGGGUUUGCCACUGGCUGGUAUGUGAGUGACACUGGCUGCUGUAACAAACGUACACCAACGUUCCAGUGGCUUCCUACAACAAGAGAUUUAUUCUUCCUCCUGAAAAAUUUCAGGCUGCAUUCCUGGUUGGCAGGAAGCUCCCCUCCACAUGAUGACUCAGGGACCUCAUUUUGUUCAUCACGGCUCUGCCCUGUCUUGUACAUGUUGUUGGUGAAGUUGAUAAAGGAACAUAGAAAGCCAUUUUCUGUAGAGGAGUAACCCAAGUGAUGCCUGUCUUAUCAGCUCCUAUUCCUUUGGUAGGAAUUUACUCACACGACCGCCUCUAUUUUAGAGGGAAGCAAGGAGACUUGGUGUAACUGUAUGCUCAGAAAAGAGGGGUCAACUGAGGAUUUUAAGUAUCUAUCAAUCUCUACUUAAGUGAAUAUGGAGCAUUCUAAGUGUAGAAAACUAAAGAAAACAGAGACAGAGGAACAAAGUAGGUGAAGGUGGCAGAGCACAGAAUGAAGGAGCUGGGAAUGGCAAAGACAUUCUAUACUAGAGGAGAGGAUGGGGUAGUUUCACAAUGCAUGGAAAAUCUAUUCUCUCUGAAAACCUGGGGUUGACAUGCUACAAGUUUCUCCGUUGACCUGGGUGGCGGUUAUGCAGGGCUGUUCCCUUUGUG
Long non-coding RNA from Cercocebus atys (sooty mangabey), 1155 nucleotides. NCBI's taxonomy places the organism in Eukaryota, Metazoa, Chordata, Mammalia, Primates, Cercopithecidae. The record is from Ensembl.